Lagenorhynchus albirostris (white-beaked dolphin) is the source of this 888-nucleotide long non-coding RNA. RefSeq lists it as uncharacterized. The record is from RefSeq and is a predicted model, not a curated record. The transcript is spliced from 2 exons. NCBI's taxonomy places the organism in Eukaryota, Metazoa, Chordata, Mammalia, Artiodactyla, Delphinidae.
CAGAUCCCUUUCAUCUCUAAAUAAGUUUGGCUUCUGUCGAAGGAAAACAAAAACAGACCUAGCCAAAAAUACUUUCUGGCUCUGUCUGAGACCCUAGCCAACUGGGGUGUGUCUGACCCAAUAUUCCCCGCAGACUGGAUUCCCUAAGCCCAGAAAGUGCUGCCAAACCUGUCCCCAGAGUCACAGCGCCCCACGUUUUGGGGGGCUCUCCAGUCUCCCAGCCCCACUCACCUGAGCGGGACCCCGGCUCCUCCAUCUCUCUUGGGGUAGGUCUGGGCGCGGGGUCAAGCCCUCACGUCUCGGACACUGAAGCCUGGGAGAAUGACCAACGCUGGGGAGACAGGAAAGGGACUGCGGACGCGGACACAAACCACGAAAAGUAAAGAAGCAGGCCGACAGAGACCUCGAGAGGCCGGCAGCGGGGCUGACAGACCCAAGACACCGAGAAGAGCAGAAAUCUUCACAUCUUCACCAGAAGUAGAUUCCAGCUCAAGAAACUACUUUCUUUACUCAUCCACAAGAAGCAACUCCUCAUCUGUCAAAGUUUGAUCAUGAGAUUGCAGCAAUUCAGUCACACCUUCAGGCUCCACUUCCAAUUCCAGUUCUCUUGCUGUUUCCACAUCUGCAGUGUCUUCCUCCACUGAGGUAAUGAACCCCUCAAAGUCAUCCAUGAGGGAUGGAAUCAACUUCUUCCAAACUCCUGUUAACGUUUGAUAUUUUGUCUGCUUCCCAUAAGUCACAAGUGUUCUUAAUGGCAUCUAGAAUUGUGAAUCCUUUCCAGAAGGUUUCAAUUUACUUUGCCCAGAUCCAUCAGAGGAAAUCACUAUUUAUGGCACUACAGCAUUACAAAAUGUAUUUCUUAAAUAAUAAAACCUGAAGUUGAAAUUA